Molecule: ribosomal RNA, 438 nt
Filed under: Triticum aestivum (bread wheat)
Lineage: Eukaryota; Viridiplantae; Streptophyta; Magnoliopsida; Poales; Poaceae
Description: partial small subunit ribosomal RNA
Source: RNAcentral
AUGGCGUUCAUGCGCACCUCCUCCAAUGCAUCCUCUGGCAUGGGAGUUGCUCCUGAUAUCAGGGAGACAUUCCUGGAGCUUCAGAUGAAGAAGGCAUUUCGCUAUGUCAUCUUCAAAAUAGAAGAAAAGCAAAAGCAGGUUGUUGUGGAGAAGACGGGGGCUACAACUGAGAGUUAUGAUGAUUUCCUGGCUUGUCUCCCAGAGAAUGACUGCAGAUAUGCCCUUUAUGAUUUUGACUUUGUUACUGGGGAGAAUGUGCAGAAAAGCAAGAUUUUCUUCAUUGCCUGGUCCCCUGACACAUCCCGCAUCCGCGCCAAGAUGCUGUACUCCACCUCCAAGGACCGCAUCAAGCAGGAGCUCGACGGGUUCCACUACGAGAUCCAGGCAACUGACCCGACCGAGGUGGAGCUCGAUGUCCUCCGCGACCGGGCGCACUAG